Molecule: long non-coding RNA, 674 nt
Organism: Hemicordylus capensis (graceful crag lizard)
Lineage: Eukaryota; Metazoa; Chordata; Lepidosauria; Squamata; Cordylidae
Exons: 2
Source: RefSeq, a predicted model, not a curated record
GAAAGAAGCUUCCUGAGGCACACAAUUUCCUAAAGAAAGCCCGGCCGUUGUCAAGGAGAAAGGGGGAGGGAGCGCACAGGUCUCCUUCCUGGGAAUUGCUCUUCCUCCUCCCUCUCAUUUCAUAGCCAGGCAGAUUAGCAAUAUAACGUGGAAUUCACAUUAACAGUCUGAAAUGGUACAUUCCAGCAAGAACUGUAACAGAUGAUUCUACUGAUCAAGUAGCUUGGUUUGGUGAACAGAGCAUAGAACUAUGGGAUAUAUGAACGGAAAGCCAUUUUAUGCUUCAUUGAUGCCUGUAUUAAAAAUAUUAAACUCUGUAUUUUCUUGUAUAGUCUCUCUCAUUCCUUAACUCUAUUUUGUGAAAAUUCUUUGCACAUCAGUCUUUUUAUCCCCACACUUCUGGCAUGAAAUUCUUGCAUCUUGCAGAUGGUUCUGGGCACCUACUCAAGAUUCCCCUGCAAUUGUGGAUCUUUGUGGAGAAAAUAUCUCGGAUGUGGGCCAUCGUAGACCCCACAAUUAUUGCAGAGUCUAAUGUGGAAGUGUCCAGUAACUUCUCUUAUGCAGUCCAUGUUCCUGAUUAUAUUAUGUAUAUAUUAUUACUAUAUCAUGUGUAUUAUUAUGUAUGUUUUAAAUUUUGGUCUAUGACUGUAAAUAAACAUGAUUGAUUGAUUGAU